UUAAGCGACUAAGCGUACACGGUGGAUGCCCUGGCAGUCAGAGGCGAUGAAGGACGUGCUAAUCUGCGAAAAGCGUCGGUAAGGUGAUAUGAACCGUUAUAGCCGGCGAUGUCCGAAUGGGGAAACCCAGUGUGAUUCGUCACACUAUCGUUAACUGAAUACAUAGGUUAACGAGGCGAACCGGGGGAACUGAAACAUCUAAGUACCCCGAGGAAAAGAAAUCAACCGAGAUUCCCCCAGUAGCGGCGAGCGAACGGGGAGCAGCCCAGAGUCUGAAUCAGCUUGUGUGUUAGUGGAACGGUCUGGAAAGUCCGACGGUACAGGGUGAUAGUCCCGUACACCAAAAUGCACAGGUUGUGAACUCGAAGAGUAGGGCGGGACACGUGGUAUCCUGUCUGAAUAUGGGGGGACCAUCCUCCAAGGCUAAAUACUCCUGACUGACCGAUAGUGAACCAGUACCGUGAGGGAAAGGCGAAAAGAACCCCGGCGAGGGGAGUGAAAAAGAACCUGAAACCGUGUACGUACAAGCAGUGGGAGCACCUUCGGGUGUGACUGCGUACCUUUUGUAUAAUGGGUCAGCGACUUAUAUUCUGUAGCAAGGUUAACCGUAUAGGGGAGCCGCAGGGAAACCGAGUCUUAACUGGGCGUUAAGUUGCAGGGUAUAGACCCGAAACCCGGUGAUCUAGCCAUGGGCAGGUUGAAGGUUGGGUAACACUAACUGGAGGACCGAACCGACUAAUGUUGAAAAAUUAGCGGAUGACUUGUGGCUGGGGGUGAAAGGCCAAUCAAACCGGGAGAUAGCUGGUUCUCCCCGAAAGCUAUUUAGGUAGCGCCUCGUGAAUUCAUCUUCGGGGGUAGAGCACUGUUUCGGCUAGGGGGUCAUCCCGACUUACCAACCCGAUGCAAACUACGAAUACCGAAGAAUGUUAUCACGGGAGACACACGGCGGGUGCUAACGUCCGUCGUGAAGAGGGAAACAACCCAGACCGCCAGCUAAGGUCCCAAAGUCAUGGUUAAGUGGGAAACGAUGUGGGAAGGCACAGACAGCCAGGAUGUUGGCUUAGAAGCAGCCAUCAUUUAAAGAAAGCGUAAUAGCUCACUGGUCGAGUCGGCCUGCGCGGAAGAUGUAACGGGGCUAAACCAUGCACCGAAGCUGCGGCAGCGACACUAUGUGUUGUUGGGUAGGGGAGCGUUCUGUAAGCCUGCGAAGGUGACCUGUGAGGGUUGCUGGAGGUAUCAGAAGUGCGAAUGCUGACAUAAGUAACGAUAAAGCGGGUGAAAAGCCCGCUCGCCGGAAGACCAAGGGUUCCUGUCCAACGUUAAUCGGGGCAGGGUGAGUCGACCCCUAAGGCGAGGCCGAAAGGCGUAGUCGAUGGGAAACAGGUUAAUAUUCCUGUACUUGGUGUUACUGCGAAGGGGGGACGGAGAAGGCUAUGUUAGCCGGGCGACGGUUGUCCCGGUUUAAGCAUGUAGGCUGGUUGUCCAGGCAAAUCCGGAUAAUCAAGGCUGAGGUGUGAUGACGAGGCACUACGGUGCUGAAGUAACAAAUGCCCUGCUUCCAGGAAAAGCCUCUAAGCAUCAGGUAACAUCAAAUCGUACCCCAAACCGACACAGGUGGUCAGGUAGAGAAUACCAAGGCGCUUGAGAGAACUCGGGUGAAGGAACUAGGCAAAAUGGUGCCGUAACUUCGGGAGAAGGCACGCUGGUGUGUAGGUGAAGCCCCUGCGGGUGGAGCUGAGACCAGUCGAAGAUACCAGCUGGCUGCAACUGUUUAUUAAAAACACAGCACUGUGCAAACACGAAAGUGGACGUAUACGGUGUGACGCCUGCCCGGUGCCGGAAGGUUAAUUGAUGGGGUUAUCCGUAAGGAGAAGCUCUUGAUCGAAGCCCCGGUAAACGGCGGCCGUAACUAUAACGGUCCUAAGGUAGCGAAAUUCCUUGUCGGGUAAGUUCCGACCUGCACGAAUGGCGUAAUGAUGGCCAGGCUGUCUCCACCCGAGACUCAGUGAAAUUGAACUCGCUGUGAAGAUGCAGUGUACCCGCGGCAAGACGGAAAGACCCCGUGAACCUUUACUAUAGCUUGACACUGAACAUUGAGCCUUGAUGUGUAGGAUAGGUGGGAGGCUUUGAAGCGUGGACGCCAGUCUGCGUGGAGCCAACCUUGAAAUACCACCCUUUAAUGUUUGAUGUUCUAACGUUGGCCCCUGACCGGGGUUGCGGACAGUGUCUGGUGGGUAGUUUGACUGGGGCGGUCUCCUCCCAAAGCGUAACGGAGGAGCACGAAGGUUAGCUAAUCCUGGUCGGACAUCAGGAGGUUAGUGCAAUGGCAUAAGCUAGCUUGACUGCGAGCGUGACGGCGCGAGCAGGUGCGAAAGCAGGUCAUAGUGAUCCGGUGGUUCUGAAUGGAAGGGCCAUCGCUCAACGGAUAAAAGGUACUCCGGGGAUAACAGGCUGAUACCGCCCAAGAGUUCAUAUCGACGGCGGUGUUUGGCACCUCGAUGUCGGCUCAUCACAUCCUGGGGCUGAAGUAGGUCCCAAGGGUAUGGCUGUUCGCCAUUUAAAGUGGUACGCGAGCUGGGUUUAGAACGUCGUGAGACAGUUCGGUCCCUAUCUGCCGUGGGCGCUGGAGAAUUGAGGGGGGCUGCUCCUAGUACGAGAGGACCGGAGUGGACGCAUCACUGGUGUUCGGGUUGUCAUGCCAAUGGCACUGCCCGGUAGCUAAAUGCGGAAGAGAUAAGUGCUGAAAGCAUCUAAGCACGAAACUUGCCCCGAGAUGAGUUCUCCCUGAGACUUUAAGUCUCCUGAAGGAACGUUGAAGACGACGACGUUGAUAGGCCGGGUGUGUAAGCGCAGCGAUGCGUUGAGCUAACCGGUACUAAUGAACCGUGAGGCUUAACCU
RNAcentral lists this ribosomal RNA (2899 nucleotides) under Klebsiella pneumoniae. RNAcentral's name for it is "23S ribosomal RNA". It matches the Rfam family "Bacterial large subunit ribosomal RNA". The record is from RNAcentral. Lineage: Bacteria; Pseudomonadati; Pseudomonadota; Gammaproteobacteria; Enterobacterales; Enterobacteriaceae.